GACGAACGCUGGCGGCGUGCUUAACACAUGCAAGUCGAACGGAAAGGCCCUGCCUUUGUGGGGUGCUCGAGUGGCGAACGGGUGAGUAACACGUGAGUAACCUGCCCUUGACUUUGGGAUAACUUCAGGAAACUGGGGCUAAUACCGGAUAGGAGCUCCUGCUGCAUGGUGGGGGUUGGAAAGUUUCGGCGGUUGGGGAUGGACUCGCGGCUUAUCAGCUUGUUGGUGGGGUAGUGGCUUACCAAGGCUUUGACGGGUAGCCGGCCUGAGAGGGUGACCGGACCCAUUGGGACUGAGAUACGGCCCAGACUCCUGCGGGAGGCAGCAGUGGGGAAUAUUGCACAAUGGGCGGAAGCCUGAUGCAGCAACGCCGCGUGCGGGAUGACGGCCUUCGGGUUGUAAACCGCUUUCGCCUGUGACGAAGCGUGAGUGACGGUAAUGGGUAAAGAAGCACCGGCUAACUACGUG
RNAcentral lists this ribosomal RNA (468 nucleotides) under uncultured bacterium. RNAcentral describes it as "partial 16S ribosomal RNA". It matches the Rfam family "Bacterial small subunit ribosomal RNA", at positions 28 to 507 of the family's 1533-position model. The record is from RNAcentral.